This 432-nucleotide ribosomal RNA is filed under the name uncultured bacterium. RNAcentral describes it as "partial 16S ribosomal RNA". It matches the Rfam family "Bacterial small subunit ribosomal RNA", at positions 29 to 506 of the family's 1533-position model. The record is from RNAcentral.
AACGAACGCUGGCGGCAUGCCUAACACAUGCAAGUCGAACGAGACCUUCGGGUCUAGUGGCGCACGGGUGCGUAACGCGUGGGAACCUGCCCUUAGGUUCGGAAUAACUCCCCGACAGGGGUGCUAAUACCGGAUAAUGUCUUCUGACCAAAGAUUUAUCGCCUUUGGAUGGGCCCGCGUUGGAUUAGCUAUUUGGUAGGGUAAAAGCCUACCAAGGCGCCGAUCCAUAGCUGGUCUGAGAGGAUGAUCAGCCACACUGGGACUGAGACACGGCCCAGACUCCUACGGGAGGGAGAAGUGGGGAAGAAGGGACAAUGGGCGAAAGCCUGAGCCAGCAAUGCCGCGUGAGUGAGGAAGGACGUAGGGUUGUAAAGCUCUUUUACCCGGGAUGAUAAGGACAGUACCGGGAGAAUAAGCUCCGGCUAACUCCGG